RNAcentral lists this ribosomal RNA (534 nucleotides) under Gekko hokouensis. RNAcentral's name for it is "partial large subunit ribosomal RNA". It matches the Rfam family "Bacterial large subunit ribosomal RNA", at positions 1844 to 2605 of the family's 2925-position model. The record is from RNAcentral. Lineage: Eukaryota; Metazoa; Chordata; Lepidosauria; Squamata; Gekkonidae.
AUUAAGGUCUUGCCUGCCCAGUGAAUAAUUUAACGGCCGCGGUAUCAUAACCGUGCAAAGGUAGCGUAAUCACUUGUCUUCCAAAUAGAGACCUGUAUGAAUGGCUAAAUGAGGGCAUAUCUGUCUCCUCAGGCCAACCAAUGAAACUGAUUUACCAGUACAAAAGCUGGUAUACCCCCAUAAGACGAGAAGACCCUGUGGAGCUUCAAAUACAAGCACUAAUAUUAACCCAACCCACCCCAGGACUACACACACCUUAAAAUAGUGUUAAUUUUAAGUUGGGGCAACUGCGGAAUAUAGAAAAUCUUCCACGACACAGGCUUACCCCAUCGAAGACAAACAAGUCAACGAUAAUACCAUUGACCCAGUAAAUACUGAUCAACGAACCAAGUUACCCCAGGGAUAACAGCGCCAUCCCCUUCAAGAGUCCAUAUCGCCAAGGGGGCUUACGACCUCGAUGUUGGAUCAGGACACCCAGGUGGUGCAGCCGCUACCUAAGGUUCGUUUGUUCAACGAUCAAUGUCCUACGUGAUC